AACGAACGCUGGAACGGCGUGCCUAACACAUGCAAGUCGAACGAGAAAGUUCCGUUCGCGGAAUGAGUAAAGUGGCGCACGGGUGAGUAACACGUGGAUAAUCUGCCCUUAAGCGAGGAAUAACAUUUCGAAAGGAAUGCUAAUACCUCAUAAUGUUAUUUUCUCUUCGGAGGGAAUAGCCAAAGGUGACCUCUGUCUCAAGUUGCCGCUUAGAGAUGAGUCCGCGGCCCAUUAGCUAGUUGGUGGGGUAAAAGCCUACCAAGGCGACGAUGGGUAGCUGGUCUGAGAGGAUGAUCAGCCACACUGGAACUGAGAUACGGUCCAGACUCCUACGGGGGGCAGCAGUGAGGAAUCUUGCGCAAUGGGGGAAACCCUGACGCAGCAACGCCGUGUGAGUGAUGAAGGUCUUCGGGUCGUAAAGCUCUGUUUGAAGGGACGAAACGUAUUUGAUUAAUACUCAAAUAACUUGACGGUACCUUCAGAGGAAGCACCGGCUAACUCCGUGCCAGCAGCCGCGGUAAUACGGAGGG
RNAcentral lists this ribosomal RNA (530 nucleotides) under uncultured delta proteobacterium. Its description in RNAcentral is "bacterial SSU rRNA". It matches the Rfam family "Bacterial small subunit ribosomal RNA", at positions 29 to 532 of the family's 1533-position model. The record is from RNAcentral. Lineage: Bacteria; Deltaproteobacteria.